UUAAUUGAAGCCAAAAUAGAGGCAUAUCACUGUUAAUGAUACUACUGAGUUUAUAGCUCCAAUUAAG
This 67-nucleotide transfer RNA is filed under the name Calineuria stigmatica. Its description in RNAcentral is "tRNA-Asn". Lineage: Eukaryota; Metazoa; Arthropoda; Insecta; Plecoptera; Perlidae. The record is from RNAcentral.